GUUUCUAUAGUUGAAUUACAACGGUGGUUUUUCAGAUCAUUGGUCCUGGUUGAACUCCUGGUAGGAACU
RNAcentral lists this transfer RNA (69 nucleotides) under Pythonichthys microphthalmus. RNAcentral's name for it is "tRNA-Glu". It matches the Rfam family "tRNA". Rfam says of the family: Transfer RNA (tRNA) molecules are approximately 80 nucleotides in length. The record is from RNAcentral. Lineage: Eukaryota; Metazoa; Chordata; Actinopteri; Anguilliformes; Heterenchelyidae.